CAGCAGUGGGGAAUCUUGGACAAUGGGGCAACCCUGAUCCAGCCAUGCCGCGUGAGUGAUGAAGGCCUUAGGGUCGUAAAAGCUCUUUCGCCUGUGAAGAUAAUGACGGUAGCAGGUAAAGAAAACCCCGGCUAACUCCGUGCCAGCAGCCGCGGUAAUACGGAGGGGUUAGCGUUGUUCGGAAUUACUGGGCGUAAAAGCGCACGUAGGCGGAUCGGAAAAGUUGGGUGAAAAUCCCGGGCUCAAACCCCGGAACGGCCUACCAAAAAACUAUCGGUCUAGAGUUCGAGAGAGGUGAGUGGAAUUCCGAGUGUAGAGGUGAAAUUCGUAGAUAUUCGGAGGAACACCAGUGGCGAAGGCGGCUCACUGGCUCGAUACUGACGCUGAGGUGCGAAAGUGUGGGGAGCAAACAGGAUUAGAUACCCGGUAG
Molecule: ribosomal RNA, 430 nt
Filed under: uncultured bacterium
Lineage: Bacteria
Description: bacterial SSU rRNA
Rfam family: Bacterial small subunit ribosomal RNA
Source: RNAcentral